This 406-nucleotide ribosomal RNA is filed under the name Verrucomicrobiota bacterium. RNAcentral describes it as "Verrucomicrobia bacterium partial 16S ribosomal RNA". It matches the Rfam family "Bacterial small subunit ribosomal RNA", at positions 355 to 776 of the family's 1533-position model. The record is from RNAcentral. Lineage: Bacteria; Pseudomonadati; Verrucomicrobiota.
UGGGGAAUAUUGGACAAUGGAGGAAACUCUGAUCCAGCAAUUCUGUGUGUGUGAAGAAGGUUUUAGGACUGUAAAACACUUUUAGUAGGGAAGAAAAAAAUGACGGUACCUACAGAAGAAGCAACGGCUAAAUACGUGCCAGCAGCCGCGGUAAUACGUAUGUUGCGAGCGUUAUCCGGAAUUAUUGGGCUUAAGGGCAUCUAGGCGGUAAGACAAGUUGAAGGUGAAAACCUGUGGCUCAACCAUAGGCUUGCCUACAAAACUGUUGAACUAGAGUACUGGAAAGGUGGGUGGAACUACACGAGUAGAGGUGAAAUUCGUAGAUAUGUGUAGGAAUGCCGAUGAUGAAGAUAACUCACUGGACAGAAACUGACGCUGAAGUGCGAAAGCUAGGGGAGCAAACAGG